This 515-nucleotide ribosomal RNA is filed under the name uncultured bacterium. RNAcentral describes it as "partial 16S ribosomal RNA". It matches the Rfam family "Bacterial small subunit ribosomal RNA", at positions 28 to 523 of the family's 1533-position model. The record is from RNAcentral.
GAUGAACGCUGGCGGCGUGCCUAAUACAUGCAAGUCGAGCGAAUGGAUUAAGAGCUUGCUCUUAUGAAGUUAGCGGCGGACGGGUGAGUAACACGUGGGUAACCUGCCCAUAAGACUGGGAUAACUCCGGGAAACCGGGGCUAAUACCGGAUAACAUUUUGAACCGCAUGGUUCGAAAUUGAAAGGCGGCUUCGGCUGUCACUUAUGGAUGGACCCGCGUCGCAGUAGCUAGUUGGUGAGGUAACGGCUCCCCAAGGCAACGAUGCGUAGCCGACCUGGGAGGGUGAUCGGCCACACUGGGACUGAGACACGGCCCAGACUCCUACGGGAGGCAGCAGUAGGGAAUCUUCCGCAAUGGACGAAAGUCUGACGGAGCAACGCCGCGUGAGUGAUGAAGGCUUUCGGGUCGUAAAACUCUGUUGUUAGGGAAGAACAAGUGCUAGUUGAAUAAGCUGGCACCUUGACGGUACCUAACCAGAAAGCCACGGCUAACUACGUGCCAGCCGCCGCCGUAA